This is a non-coding RNA of Chiloscyllium plagiosum (whitespotted bambooshark), 1385 nucleotides long. The record is from RefSeq and is a predicted model, not a curated record. NCBI's taxonomy places the organism in Eukaryota, Metazoa, Chordata, Chondrichthyes, Orectolobiformes, Hemiscylliidae.
CGUGGGGUCUAUUUCCCCUGGGAAUACCCCAGUUUUCGUGGGAGUUUACCGUGGGGUCUAUUUCCCCUGGGAAUACCCCAGUUAUCGUGGGAGUUUACCGUGGGGUCUAUUUCCUCUGGGAAUACCCCAGUUAUUGUGGGAGUUCACAGUGGGGUCUAUUUCCCCUGGGAAUACCCCAGUUAUCGUGGGAGUCCACAGUGGGGUCUAUUUCCCCUGGGAAUACCCCAGUUAUCGUGGGAGUCCACAGUGGGGUGUAUUUCCCCUGGGAAUACCCCAGUUAUCGUGGGAGUUUACCGUGGGGUGUAUUUCCCCUGGGAAUACCCCAGUUAUCGUGGGUUCUGCCCUCUGUUAUCGUAGAUAAGAGCUGAUGGGAUGGAGCUCCUACCAUUCCCUGGAGAUGCCCUGUUUAAAAGCCAGGUACAGAACCUGUCUGGGCUGCCCCUGGUGUCUUUGCCUCUCUCUCUCCUUUCUGCUCCCAUCCUUUCCCUCCAUCUCUCCUUAUCCUCCCCACCUCCCUUCUACCGCUGGCGCCCUGCCCCUCCUGAAAACACUGCGUAUGGAUAAAGGAGAGCUUCCAUGGCGGAACGCUGUUUAACCCGCUCCCCCGACUGUCUUGACAGUGCUGCCAGCUGAGAGAGGCCAGAAGAGAGGCAUCACUGGCACAAUCACCAGUCUGGCCUCAUACCCAGUGCACUCUGUGGGAGCUCUGGCUCAGAGAGUAAAAGGAUGGUUCCCUGAUAUUCCAAAGGCUUUUCUUUGAUGUCUAAGCACGUUGAGGCUCAGUGGAUGACUCAGUAACUGCAGGGCUGCUGGCUAUCAAUAGGAGUACAGUAUUUGCUGUUGUUUCCUUUUCCAUGGACUCGGACAAUGCUACUUUAUUUCUUAAUUGACUUGAUGUGCAAUUGUGGGUAUGGAGGAGGAGAGGCCACAUGAUAUCACCUGAUGUUCUCUGAGGCACCGAUAUGGGUUCAUAAGUGAACCAAAUAAUUCUUCUAAUUUUGUGAAAAUCCACUUGUGUUUGAGGUCCCCAUUCUCGAUUUCUUUACCUCACUGAAUUUAAUUCCCUGACUGUCAUUGUCAGAUUUGACCUUGUGUCUUUACUUGUCCAUUCACAUAAACACACUGCCAUUCCCUGUUUGUCCUGUUGAAACUGAUUUUCAAGUUGGGAUUGGUGGGAGACUCCAAUGGUAUAGGUUGGGUGUCUGAACCAUCCUCCUGUUGGUGAGCACCAACCAGUCACUGUUCCUACAGCUGCGACUCUCUUACACAAUGUCAUUGCACUUGGUCCAAAUCAGUCACGGUUCAGGGCUCACCAUAUUGGAAGUGGGCUUUCCUGGAUGGUGAGGAAUGGGAAUAAGGUCAAGAAUCUUGUUCCCUCUUGUACC